Molecule: ribosomal RNA, 513 nt
Filed under: Triticum aestivum (bread wheat)
Lineage: Eukaryota; Viridiplantae; Streptophyta; Magnoliopsida; Poales; Poaceae
Description: partial small subunit ribosomal RNA
Source: RNAcentral
AUGAUUACGUCUGGGAUUAAAUUUCCACAGAAAUAUUUGUGGAAAAUCAAAGUCCCUGCCAAAAUAAAAGUCUUCUUGUGGCUAGUGAAUAAAAAAAGCAUCUUAACUAGGGAUGUUUUACUUAAAAGGGGGUGGAAAGGAGGAAAAGAAUGUGUUUUUUGUGGACAAAAUGAAUCAAUUGAUCACUUGCUGUUCAAUUGUUCUGCGGCAUCCUUGCUGUGGAGCUUGGUCAGAUGUGUGUGUGGCUUGAAAACUAAUCCUUUAAAUGUGAAAGAUUGUUUUGGGGGAUGGAUAAACAAAUUCAAUAAGGAAGACAAGAAAAUGGUGCUGAUUGGUGUCUCUUCUUUAUUCUGGGCUAUUUGGAAAAGCAGAAAUGCAACUGUCUUUGAGAAAAAAAGGAUUAAUGAUCCUUUGCAGAUUAUCAAACUAAUGGUCCGAUGGUUGCUUGAUUGGUCUAUUUUGCAGACAAAGGAGCCGCCAAAAAAAUGCUGGAACUGGGGGCAAGAAUACUAG